This 702-nucleotide ribosomal RNA is filed under the name Pseudoalteromonas sp. H720. RNAcentral's name for it is "bacterial SSU rRNA". It matches the Rfam family "Bacterial small subunit ribosomal RNA", at positions 65 to 754 of the family's 1533-position model. The record is from RNAcentral. Lineage: Bacteria; Pseudomonadati; Pseudomonadota; Gammaproteobacteria; Alteromonadales; Pseudoalteromonadaceae.
AGCGGGAGGCAGAGAGUAUGCUUGCUACUCUGCUGACGAGCGGCGGACGGGUGAGUAAUGCUUGGAAAUAUGCCUUAUGGUGGGGGACAACAGUUGGAAACGACUGCUAAUACCGCAUGAUGUCUACGGACCAAAGUGGGGGACCUUCGGGCCUCACGCCAUAAGAUUAGCCCAAGUGGGAUUAGCUAGUUGGUGAGGUAAUGGCUCACCAAGGCGACGAUCCCUAGCUGGUUUGAGAGGAUGAUCAGCCACACUGGGACUGAGACACGGCCCAGACUCCUACGGGAGGCAGCAGUGGGGAAUAUUGCACAAUGGGCGCAAGCCUGAUGCAGCCAUGCCGCGUGUGUGAAGAAGGCCUUCGGGUUGUAAAGCACUUUCAGUAAGGAGGAAAGGUUAAGUGUUAAUAGCACUUAGCUGUGACGUUACUUACAGAAGAAGCACCGGCUAACUCCGUGCCAGCAGCCGCGGUAAUACGGAGGGUGCGAGCGUUAAUCGGAAUUACUGGGCGUAAAGCGUACGCAGGCGGUUUGUUAAGCGAGAUGUGAAAGCCCCGGGCUCAACCUGGGAACUGCAUUUCGAACUGGCAAACUAGAGUGUGAUAGAGGGUGGUAGAAUUUCAGGUGUAGCGGUGAAAUGCGUAGAGAUCUGAAGGAAUACCGAUGUCGAAGGCAUCCACCUGGGUCAUCACUUACGCUCAUGUUC